The sequence is a transfer RNA, 105 nucleotides long. It matches the Rfam family "tRNA". Rfam says of the family: Transfer RNA (tRNA) molecules are approximately 80 nucleotides in length. The record is from Rfam.
GGGCGUUUGGUUUAGGGGUAUAAUAUCCGUUUCGCAUUGGAUGAUGCCGAUCAUAAGAUGAGUAACGACUACGGAAGGUCGCCGGUUCGAUUCCGGCAACGUCCA